RNAcentral lists this ribosomal RNA (606 nucleotides) under Trichoderma sp. BSCR02. RNAcentral's name for it is "partial 18S ribosomal RNA". The stretch from base 215 to 369 matches the Rfam family "5.8S ribosomal RNA". The record is from RNAcentral. Lineage: Eukaryota; Fungi; Ascomycota; Sordariomycetes; Hypocreales; Hypocreaceae.
UAGGGGGAACCUGCGGAGGGAUCAUUACCGAGUUUACAACUCCCAAACCCAAUGUGAACCAUACCAAACUGUUGCCUCGGCGGGGUCACGCCCCGGGUGCGUCGCAGCCCCGGAACCAGGCGCCCGCCGGAGGAGACCAACCAAACUCUUUACUGUAGUCCCCUCGCGGACGUUAUUUCUUACAGCUCUGAGCAAAAAAUUCAAAAUGAAUCAAAACUUUCAACAACGGAUCUCUUGGUUCUGGCAUCGAUGAAGAACGGCAGCGAAAUGCGAUAAGUAAUGUGAAUUGCAGAAUUCAGUGAAUCAUCGAAUCUUUGAACGCACAUUGCGCCCGCCAGUAUUCUGGCGGGCAUGCCUGUCCGAGCGUCAUUUCAACCCUCGAACCCCUCCGGGGGGUCGGCGUUGGGGAUCGGGAACCCCUCAGACGGGAUCCCGGCCCCGAAAUACAGUGGCGGUCUCGCCGCAGCUCUCCUGCGCAGUUAGUUUGCACAACUCGCACCGGGAGCGCGGCGCGUCCACGUCCGUAAAACACCCAACUUUCUGAAAUGUUGACCUCGGAUCAUGUAGGCAUACGGCGCCUGAACUUAAGCAUAUCAAUAAGCCGGA